AACGAACGCUGGCGGCGUGGCUAAGACAUGCAAGUCGUACGAACCGUUCAAUUGAGUAAUCGAUAGGAUGGUUAGUGGCGGAUGGAUGAGUAAUGCAUAGAUAACGUACCCCGGGCACUGGGAUAGCUGCGGGCUUCGGCCCUUUAGCGAAAGUGCAGAUAAUACCGGAUAAUGUCCUUCGGUCGAAUGGCUGAGGGACCAAAUGGGCUUCGGUACCGGCUUGGGAGCGGUUUAUGUCGUAUCAGCUUGUUGGUGGGGUAACGGCCCACCAAGGCAGCGACGCGUAGCGGGGCUGAGAGGUUGGCCCGCCAUAUCGGGACUGAGACACUGCCCGGACCUCCACGGAGGGCUGCAGUAACGGAUAUUGCGCAAUGGGCGAAAGCCUGACGCAGCGACGCCGCGUGUAGGACGAAUCCCCUCGGGGUGUAAACUACUGUUAGGGUGAAGAAAGGCGAGGGCUGUAAUGCCCGAGCUGAUCGU
This 480-nucleotide ribosomal RNA is filed under the name uncultured bacterium. RNAcentral describes it as "bacterial SSU rRNA". It matches the Rfam family "Bacterial small subunit ribosomal RNA", at positions 29 to 476 of the family's 1533-position model. The record is from RNAcentral.